This 402-nucleotide ribosomal RNA is filed under the name uncultured bacterium. RNAcentral describes it as "partial 16S ribosomal RNA". It matches the Rfam family "Archaeal small subunit ribosomal RNA", at positions 473 to 873 of the family's 1478-position model. The record is from RNAcentral.
ACACCGGCAGCUCAAGUGGUAGCCGCUUUUAUUGGGCCUAAAGCGUCCGUAGCCGGUCUGAUAAGUCUCUGGUGAAAUCCCACAGCUUAACUGUGGGAAUUGCUGGAGAUACUAUCAUGACUCGAGGUCGGGAGAGGCUGGAGGUACUCCCAGGGUAGGGGUGAAAUCCUGUAAUCCUGGGAGGACCACCUGUGGCGAAGGCGUCCGAGUGGAACGAACCUGACGGUGAGGGACGAAAGCCAGGGGCGCGAACCGGAUUAGAUACCCGGGUAGUCCUGGCCGUAAACGAUGUGGACUUGGUGUUGGGAUGGCCUCGAGCUGCCCCAGUGCCGGAGGGAAGCUGUUAAGUCCACCGCCUGGGAAGUACGGUCGCAAGACUGAAACUUAAAGGAAUUGGCGGGG